This 405-nucleotide ribosomal RNA is filed under the name uncultured bacterium. RNAcentral describes it as "partial 16S ribosomal RNA". It matches the Rfam family "Bacterial small subunit ribosomal RNA", at positions 30 to 526 of the family's 1533-position model. The record is from RNAcentral.
AUUGAACGCUAGCGGGAUGCUUUACACAUGCAAGUCGAACGAGUGGCGGACGGGUGAGGAAUAUAUCGGAACGUGCCCAGUAGCGGGGGAUAACUACGCGAAAGAGUGGCUAAUACCGCAUACGAUUGAAACGGCCGAUGUCGGAGUAGCUAGUUGGUGGGGUAAAGGCUCACCAAGGCAACGAGCCGUAGCUGGUUUGAGAGGACUACCAGCCACACUGGGACUGAGACACGGCCCAGACUCCUACGGGAGGCAGCAGUGGGGAAUUUUGGACAAUGGGGGAAACCCUGAUCCAGCCAUGCCGCGUGUAUGAGAAGGCCUUCGGGUUGUAAAGUACUUUUGGCAGAGAAGCGGUAUCUGCAGAAUAAGCACCGGCUAACUACGUGCCAGCAGCCGCGGUAAUAC